RNAcentral lists this ribosomal RNA (345 nucleotides) under uncultured bacterium. RNAcentral's name for it is "bacterial SSU rRNA". It matches the Rfam family "Bacterial small subunit ribosomal RNA", at positions 28 to 286 of the family's 1533-position model. The record is from RNAcentral.
GAUGAACGCUGGCGGCGUGCUUAAGACAUGCAAGUCGAGCGGCAACAUGUUUCUCACUAAGGUUCGAAACGGUAGAUAGUAGGCAAUAGUUUGUAGUUGGGUUAGCCCAUCUACCAUCUGUUAACUGCCAACUACCAAAGUUCCGAGCUUUAGUGAGGAAUGAUGGCGAGCGGCGGACGGCUGAGUAACGCACAGGGACGUACCCCAGAGUGAGGGAUAAUCCGCCGAAAGGCGGACUAAUACCGCAUAAUCUCUUCGGAGCAAAGGAGCAAUCCGCUAUGGGAGCGGCCUGUGUACGAUUAGCUUGUUGGUGAGGUAAAGGCUCACCAAGGCGACGAUCGUUAG